This 89-nucleotide unclassified non-coding RNA is filed under the name Pseudomonas libanensis. Lineage: Bacteria; Pseudomonadati; Pseudomonadota; Gammaproteobacteria; Pseudomonadales; Pseudomonadaceae. The record is from RNAcentral.
UGUGGGAGCUGGCUUGCCUGCGAUAGCGGUGGGUCUGGCAGCAGCAGGUCGCCUGCCAGGCCCUCAUCGCAGGCAAGCCAGCUCCCACA